AGUGAACGCUGGCGGUAGGCCUAACACAUGCAAGUCGAACGGCAGCACAGUAAGAGCUUGCUCUUACGGGUGGCGAGUGGCGGACGAGUGAGGAAUACAUCGGAAUCUACUUUUUCGUGGGGGAUAACGUAGGGAAACUUACGCUAAUACCGCAUACGACCUACGGGUGAAAGCAGGGGAUCUUCGGACCUUGCGCGAUUGAAUGAGCCGAUGUCGGAUUAGCUAGUUGGCGGGGUAAAGGCCCACCAAGGCGACGAUCCGUAGCUGGUCUGAGAGGAUGAUCAGCCACACUGGAACUGAGACACGGUCCAGACUCCUACGGGAGGCAGUAGUGGGGAAUAUUGGACAAUGGGCGCAAGCCUGAUCCAGCCAUACCGCGUGGGUGAGGAAGGCCUUCGGGUUGUAAAGCCCUUUUGUUGGGAAAGAAAAGCAGCAGGUUAAUACCCCGCUGUUCUGACGGUACCCAAAGAAUAAGCACCGGCUAACUUCGUG
RNAcentral lists this ribosomal RNA (492 nucleotides) under uncultured bacterium. RNAcentral describes it as "partial 16S ribosomal RNA". It matches the Rfam family "Bacterial small subunit ribosomal RNA", at positions 29 to 507 of the family's 1533-position model. The record is from RNAcentral.